RNAcentral lists this transfer RNA (72 nucleotides) under Pangasianodon gigas (Mekong giant catfish). RNAcentral's name for it is "tRNA-Glu". It matches the Rfam family "tRNA". Rfam says of the family: Transfer RNA (tRNA) molecules are approximately 80 nucleotides in length. The record is from RNAcentral. Lineage: Eukaryota; Metazoa; Chordata; Actinopteri; Siluriformes; Pangasiidae.
UCCCUGGAGGACUAGUGGUUAGGCCACAGCGCUCUCACCGCUGCAGGCUGAGUUUGAUUCCUAGCUAUGGAA